CUUUUUUCAAUCUUAUUGUUUAUUUUUUAAUUUCUUCGUUGGAAUCUAAUUAAUUGUUCACAUUUCGAUUGUUAUUUUGGAUUAAAUUGUUGGUUUUUAAAAUUCUCUGAGAAUUUGAUUGCUCACAUUAAGGAAAAAUCUUGAUUAAUCUGGUGGCCGUGAUUAGUUGUGGUUAAAAUGGUGGUUGUUGAUGAUAGAGCUGGUGAAUUUUAUUCGUUAAUAUUAAACAAGGGCGUUUAAACUGUGAAACCUUCAUUAUACACCAGCAAUCAAGCAUAUGUAAGACUUGGCAAGUGUAUAAUCACCUUUAAACCAAGAAACAAUCAUGUAGAUUGGAAUCAACAUUUUUCUACAUCAUGUUGCUCUCCCAGUCACUCACUCUCUCGGUGUGCGUGAUGUUUUGGUUAAAGGUGGAAAAAAAGUAAAUCCAGACACACACACACACACUUUUACUAACUACACACAUAAACCAGUUCAAUUGCAGCAUCAUUAUCAUGAUGAUGAGAAAAGUAUUCACAUGUAACCAUGAAACAUGCACCAUUAUUAUGAUUAACAACAACAAUCAACAAAACAUUCAACACUUAAAGAUCAAGAAACAUCAUCCAUGAAUGAAUUAAGAAAAUACAAAAAGCCUCCAACUAAACAAACCACGUGAACAAAGUCACACACCUUUUUUAACAACAUCAACAUAAUCAUCAACAUAAUCAUCGUUAUCGUUACAAUUUCAUCAUUCUCACUUUUGAUAAAUACUAUUUAAAGAUUGAACAACGACACAACUGCAAACAAUCAACAAACACACGUACACUCACAACAAUAGAAUACACGAAUCUCUUUACAGAAAGAAAAAGUCUUGAGACAAGGGUUGGGUUCUCAUCAUCAUCAUCGUCAUCGUCCACCACACGAGUCUCAAUAAUGGAUAAAGAAAUAAUAGGAAGAGAAAGCAAGAAGAAGAAAAAACGUUCGCUUCCAUUGUUAACAUGAUGAUAGAAAAAGAAAAAAGCAAAUCUUAUUGAUGGCUGUUUAUAAGGUGACUUGUGCCUGUGUCCGUGUGUAUUUGCGAGUGAGUGAGUGUAUGUGUGUAAAAAAAAAGGUUGAAAGGACCAUUUUACUACAACUACUACUACUUUUACUAUUACUACAAAUACUUGCACAUUGCACAUUGCAAAGGUAAAAGGUACGUGUCACUGGCACACUCGUCAUGGGAAAAUAAUAUCAACCUUUACAUUGGAUUUUUCAAUCUUUUCUCUAUGGACACUGUAAACCAUUCACCUUUUGUUAAUCUUCAUCAUCUUUGUCAUCAUUUUGCCAUAGAAAACGAAAAUAUAAUGAUAAUGAUUAAAGAUUAUUAAUGGUUGGUUAAUUUCUCAAUGAUUUCAGUUAACUCUCCCAACGAUUAUCCAAUUAAUAACAGUUAAUUCCACUGUCACCGUUUUCUUUUUACUUCCAUUCAAAGAUUUGUUUUUCCAACGGUCCAACAAUUAGAUUACUAACUAAACGUUAAUCUGAUAAACUUUACUGUUAACUAUUGAUGAAACUAAUCUGAUUGUCGUUAGAUAAUUUCGUUGGAUAUGGAUUCGCGCGAAUUGAUAAAUUGGAGAUAAAUUUAAUUUCAUCGGUAGUAAAUUAAAGGCAUUUGGUGGUUCAUGGGAUUGACAAAGUGCAUCUAAGUAAUUAGAUUAAUUAUGAAUAGAUAUUUAAUCAAUUUAUGAUGUUGAUUAAAUCUAUUUACAGAGAAAGAGAUCAAUAGAAG
This is a long non-coding RNA of Panonychus citri (citrus red mite), 1750 nucleotides long. RefSeq lists it as uncharacterized. The record is from RefSeq and is a predicted model, not a curated record. The transcript has 5 exons. Lineage: Eukaryota; Metazoa; Arthropoda; Arachnida; Trombidiformes; Tetranychidae.